This is a long non-coding RNA of Astatotilapia calliptera (eastern happy), 305 nucleotides long. NCBI's taxonomy places the organism in Eukaryota, Metazoa, Chordata, Actinopteri, Cichliformes, Cichlidae. The record is from Ensembl.
GUGAUCCAAAAGAUGAAUGGGAUAUCUAAAGGAGAGGAAUUCAAAACUACAGAUUUGGAUGAUGACCUAAAACAUGAGAGAAAUCUGCAAAGAAAAACUAAUAAAGCAGGAAGGGGCUCUGUUCAUCCCACUGACAUCUCACCAGCUCUCUCACCGGAUCAAAGGAUUAAGCCUGCGAGGACAGCAAUUGCUCUGCUUUACCUGGAGGUUAAGACAGCAAAUAACUAAAAUGUAAAUCGCAAAGCAGAUAUUCUCAGUGUGAAUGAGUGUAAUAAGGAAGAUAGUAUUUAGCAAUUAUGCCGCAA